This 567-nucleotide long non-coding RNA is filed under the name Phoenix dactylifera (date palm). Its description in RNAcentral is "long non-coding RNA (PDAC_LNC008347)". The record is from RNAcentral. Lineage: Eukaryota; Viridiplantae; Streptophyta; Magnoliopsida; Arecales; Arecaceae.
AUGGUCGGGGAUGUUAGGUGGAAGGGUGUGCAUGAUUUGGUUCGGAUCAAUUUACAGAUUUUUCUGAAAUUAAACUGGCUUAAAUUGGUUUCUAUAAUUGAAAUCGAAAUUGGACCGACAAUACGUUACAAUCUGGUUAAAUCGGUCUAAAAAAUUUGGUUCAAUUCGUUUUAUCGGAUUAUGAGCUAAAUAAGCUUCCAUCAAAUAGGCUGCUAAAUAGGAUGGGUUAAAUGGGCACUAAUCGGCGACAUGCUAAAUGGGCUAAAUGGACUAGUAGGAAAUUACUUAGAAGGAUUGCUAAGAGAAGCAAAGAAAGGAUUGAGAGGAGGGAGCUGGUGGAUACAAAAUUUUUCCAGUUCAAACCUUUUCUCAAAUCAACAUCAAAUUGGAUUUUAAAAAAUCGAUUGAAACUGAACCGGAAAGACAAGUCCUGAUCAAGUUCAUGAUUCAGCCGAUUUUUUGAACAUCACUUGUUAGGCGGAGUCAACUUGCUGCUAUGUUAAAGGGAAGAGUGACAUACCAAUAAGAUGGUGGUCCUUUAUAAAUAAUACAUAAGCCUGCAAGUUG